This 345-nucleotide ribosomal RNA is filed under the name uncultured bacterium. RNAcentral describes it as "bacterial SSU rRNA". It matches the Rfam family "Bacterial small subunit ribosomal RNA", at positions 148 to 507 of the family's 1533-position model. The record is from RNAcentral.
UUCAGGAAACUGGGGCUAAUACCGGAUAGGGAGCUCCUGCUGCAUGGUGAGGGUUGGAAAGUUUCGGCGUUGGGGAUGGACUCGCGGCUUAUCAGCUUGUUGGUGGGGUAGUGGCUUACCAAGGCUUUGACGGGUAGCCGGCCUGAGAGGGUGACCGGCCACAUUGGGACUGAGAUACGGCCCAGACUCCUACGGGAGGCAGCAGUGGGGAAUAUUGCACAAUGGGCGGAAGCCUGAUGCAGCAACGCCGCGUGCGGGAUGACGGCCUUCGGGUUGUAAACCGCUUUCGCCUGUGACGAAGCGUGAGUGACGGUAAUGGGUAAAGAAGCACCGGCUAACUACGUG